GGUUGUGUAGUGUAGUGGUUAUCACUUUGGAUUUUGAUUCCAAAAACCCCGGUUCGAAUCCGGGCACGACCU
This 72-nucleotide transfer RNA is filed under the name Thermothielavioides terrestris NRRL 8126. RNAcentral's name for it is "tRNA-Gln (TTG) (tRNA-Gln-TTG-2-1)". It matches the Rfam family "tRNA". Rfam says of the family: Transfer RNA (tRNA) molecules are approximately 80 nucleotides in length. Their secondary structure includes four short double-helical elements and three loops (D, anti-codon, and T loops). Further hydrogen bonds mediate the characteristic L-shaped molecular structure. tRNAs have two regions of fundamental functional importance: the anti-codon, which is responsible for specific mRNA codon recognition, and the 3' end, to which the tRNAs corresponding amino acid is attached (by aminoacyl-tRNA synthetases). tRNAs cope with the degeneracy of the genetic code in two manners: having more than one tRNA (with a specific anti-codon) for a particular amino acid; and 'wobble' base-pairing, i.e. permitting non-standard base-pairing at the 3rd anti-codon position. RNAcentral also lists the same sequence under 1 other name. Lineage: Eukaryota; Fungi; Ascomycota; Sordariomycetes; Sordariales; Chaetomiaceae. The record is from RNAcentral.